Molecule: ribosomal RNA, 2694 nt
Filed under: Triticum aestivum (bread wheat)
Lineage: Eukaryota; Viridiplantae; Streptophyta; Magnoliopsida; Poales; Poaceae
Description: partial small subunit ribosomal RNA
Source: RNAcentral
AUGGCGGCCUCCGUCGAGUACAACCGUCAGGUGUCCGCCCACCCGUGGCCGACCAAUGCGCAGCCCAAGGCCGCCUUCGACCUCUUCUCCUCCUCGGGCGGCAACGGCGGCAGGCGCCGCUCGGGCGCCGACUCCGACUCGGACGACGAGGACGGCAUCCCGCCGGACUGGCGCUCGCUCUACAGCCCGCGGCUCGACGUGGAGCCAUCGGUCAAGGACCCCCGCGACGAGGCCACCUCCGACGCCUGGGUCAAGCGCCACCCGGCGCUCGUCCGCCUCACCGGCAAGCACCCGUUCAACUCCGAGCCCCCGCUGCCGCGCCUCAUGUCCCACGGCUUCAUCACCCCGGUCCCGCUCCACUACGUGCGCAACCACGGCGCCGUGCCCAAGGCCGACUGGUCCACCUGGACCGUCGAGGUCACCGGCCUCGUCAAGCGCCCGGUGAAGCUCACCAUGGAGGAGCUCGUCACGGGGUUCCAGGCCGUCGAGUUCCCCGUCACGCUGGUGUGCGCCGGCAACCGCCGCAAGGAGCAGAACAUGGUGCGCCAGUCGUCGGGCUUCAACUGGGGCCCCGGGGCCAUUUCCACCACCGUGUGGCGCGGCGUGCGCCUCCGCGACGUGCUGCGCCGGUGCGGCGUCAUGGGGGCCGGCGUCGCGUCGAACGUGUGCUUCGAGGGCGCCGAGGACCUCCCCGGCGGCGGCGGGUGCAAGUACGGCACCAGCCUCCGGCGGUCCGUGGCCAUGGACCCGGCCCGCGACGUCAUCCUCGCCUACAUGCAGAACGGCGAGCCGCUGGCGCCGGACCACGGCUUCCCCGUGCGCGUCAUCGUGCCGGGCUUCAUCGGCGGGCGCAUGGUGAAGUGGCUGAAGCGCAUCGUCGUGGCCUGCAACGAGUCGGAGAGCUACUACCACUACCGCGACAACCGCGUGCUCCCGUCACACGUCGACGCCGAGCUCGCCAAUGCCGAAGCUUGGUGGUACAAGCCGGAGUGCAUGAUCAACGAGCUCAAUAUCAACUCGGUGAUCACCACGCCCGGACACGACGAGGUGCUGCCCAUCAACGCGCUGACGACGCAGAAGCCGUAUACGAUGAAGGGAUAUGCCUACUCCGGCGGUGGCCGGAAAGUUACGCGGGUGGAGGUGACCCUGGACGGCGGCGAGACGUGGCAGGUGUGCGAGCUGGACCACCCGGAGCGGCCGACCAAGUACGGCAAGUACUGGUGCUGGUGCUUCUGGUCCGUCGACGUCGAGGUGCUCGACCUGCUCGGCGCCAAGGAGAUGGCCGUCCGCGCGUGGGACGAGGCCCUCAACACCCAGCCGGAGAGGCUCAUCUGGAACCUCAUGGGCAUGAUGAACAACUGCUGGUUCCGGGUGAAGAUCAACGUCUGCCGCCCCCACAAGGGCGAGAUCGGCCUCGUCUUCGACCACCCGACGCAGCCGGGGAACCAGUCCGGCGGCUGGAUGGCGCGGCAGAAGCACAUCGAGACGUCCGAGACCACCCAGGGCACGCUCAAGCGGAGCACCUCCACGCCCUUCAUGUCCACCGCCUCCGCCCAGUACACCAUGUCCGAGGUGCGCCGCCACGCCUCCAAGGAGUCGGCGUGGAUCGUCGUGCACGGCCACGUCUACGACUGCACGGGCUUCCUCAAGGACCACCCCGGUGGCGCCGACAGCAUCCUCAUCAACGCCGGCUCCGACUGCACCGAGGAGUUCGACGCCAUCCACUCCGCCAAGGCCCGCGGCCUCCUCGAGAUGUACCGCGUCGGCGAGCUCAUCGCCACUGGCGCCGACUACUCGCCGCAGAGCAGCAACGCCGACCUCGCCGCCAUCGUCGAGGCUCCCUCUGUUGUUGUUGAGCCGCUUCCCCAGCUGCUGCCGGCCUCGACCGUCGCCCUCGCCAACCCGCGGGAGAAGGUGCGAUGCCGUCUCGUCGACAAGAAGAGCAUGUCCGACAACGUGCGCCUCUUCCGCUUCGCGCUCCCGUCGCCUGACCAGAAGCUCGGGCUGCCCGUCGGCAAGCACGUGUACGUCUGCGCGUCCACCGGCGGCAAGCUCUGCAUGCGCGCGUACACGCCCACCAGCUCCGUCGAGGAGGUCGGCCACGUGGAGCUCCUCAUCAAGAUAUACUUCAAGGACGAGGAUCCCAAGUUCCCCGCCGGCGGGCUCAUGUCGCAGUACCUCGACUCCCUGCCGCUCGGUGCACCCGUCGACAUCAAGGGCCCCGUGGGCCACAUCGAGUAUGCCGGCCGCGGCGCCUUCACGGUGGGCGGCGAGCGCCGGUUCGCGCGCCGGCUCGCCAUGGUGGCCGGCGGGACGGGGAUCACGCCCGUGUACCAGGUGAUCCAGGCCGUGCUGAGGGACCAGCCCGAUGACACCACGGAGAUGCACCUGGUGUACGCGAACCGCACCGAGGACGACAUGCUCCUGCGGAAGGAGAUCGACCGGUGGGCGGCCGCGCACCCCGCGCGGCUCAAGGUGUGGUACCUGGUGAGCAAGGUGGCGCGGCCGGAGGACGCGUGGGGAUACGGCGUGGGUAGGGUCAAUGAACAGGUCCUCAGAGAUCACCUGCCCCUGGGCGGCGACGGCAAGACGCUCGCGCUCGUCUGCGGGCCGCCGGCGAUGCUUGAGUGCACGGUGCGCCCGGGCCUGGAGAAGAUGGGGUACGACCUCGACAAGGAUUGCCUCGUCUUCUAA